This 323-nucleotide unclassified non-coding RNA is filed under the name fungal sp. RNAcentral describes it as "partial internal transcribed spacer region". The stretch from base 1 to 46 matches the Rfam family "Eukaryotic small subunit ribosomal RNA", at positions 1786 to 1831 of the family's 1831-position model. The record is from RNAcentral. Lineage: Eukaryota; Fungi.
AAGUCGUAACAAGGUUUCCGUAGGUGAACCUGCGGAAGGAUCAUCAUUUUAUGAGUGGGGGGGUUGUGUAUUUGUUUCGGUUGUGAUUAUGAUUGGGAUAUUUACUGCAACUCCUCCGAUAGACCGCGCACAAGUCAUGUGAAUGUGGGUAGGAUAUUGUGGGUUAUGAUUGCAUGUGUUAUAUGGAUGCAUAUCUAUAUCUAUAAUAUGGAUGCAUAUCUAUAAUCUCGUAAACUACCCAUCUAUCAAAACAACCUUAACAUAUAAAACAUUACAAACAUAUCAGAAUAAUACAACUUUCAACAAUGGAUCUCUUGGCUCUU